This 362-nucleotide ribosomal RNA is filed under the name uncultured Cenococcum. Its description in RNAcentral is "eukaryotic LSU rRNA". It matches the Rfam family "Eukaryotic large subunit ribosomal RNA", at positions 1 to 360 of the family's 3401-position model. Lineage: Eukaryota; Fungi; Ascomycota; Dothideomycetes; Gloniales; Gloniaceae. The record is from RNAcentral.
UUGACCUCGGAUCAGGCAGGGAUACCCGCUGAACUUAAGCAUAUCAAUAAGCGGAGGAAAAGAAACCAACAGGGAUUGCCUCAGUAACGGCGAGUGAAGCGGCAACAGCUCAAAUUUGAAAUCUGGCUCUUUUAGGGUCCGAGUUGUAAUUUGUAGGGGAUGCUUCGGCGUCGGCUCCGGUCUAAGUUCCUUGGAACAGGACGUCAUAGAGGGUGAGAAUCCCGUAUGUGAUCGGUUGCCCUUGCCAUGUGAAGCUCCUUCGCCGAGUCGAGUUGUUUGGGAAUGCAGCUCUAAAUGGGAGGUAAAUUCUUCUAAAGCUAAAUACUGGCCAGAGACCGAUAGCGCACAAGUAGAGUGAUCGA